AGACGUCUACAUUAGAUACCCCUGUAGUCCCAGCCGUAAACUAUGCGCGUUAGGUGUAUCGGUGACCACGAGUUACCGAGGUGCCGAAGGGAAACCGUGAAACGUGCCGCCUGGGAAGUAAGGUCGCAAGGCUGAAACUUAAAGGAAUUGGCGGGGAGCACCACAACGGGUGGAGCCUGCGGUUUAAUUGGACUCAACGCCGGGAAGCUCACCGGAUAAGACAGCGGAAUGAUUGCCGGGCUGAAGACUCUGCAUGACUAGCUG
Molecule: ribosomal RNA, 264 nt
Filed under: uncultured archaeon
Lineage: Archaea
Description: partial 16S ribosomal RNA
Rfam family: Archaeal small subunit ribosomal RNA
Source: RNAcentral